Molecule: ribosomal RNA, 368 nt
Filed under: uncultured organism
Description: bacterial SSU rRNA
Rfam family: Bacterial small subunit ribosomal RNA
Source: RNAcentral
CGGAGGAUCCAAGCGUUAUCCGGAAUCAUUGGGUUUAAAGGGUCCGUAGGCGGGUUUAUAAGUCAGUGGUGAAAGCCCAUCGCUCAACGAUGGAACGGCCAUUGAUACUGUAGAUCUUGAAUUAUUAGGAAGUAACUAGAAUAUGUAGUGUAGCGGUGAAAUGCUUAGAGAUUACAUGGAAUACCAAUUGCGAAGGCAGGUUACUACUAAUGGAUUGACGCUGAUGGACGAAAGCGUGGGUAGACGAACAGGGAUUAGAUACCCUGGUAGUCCACGCCGUAAACGAUGGAUACUAGCUGUUCGGAGCAAUCUGAGUGGCUAAGCGAAAGUGAUAAGUAUCCCACCUGGGGAGUACGUUCGCAAGAAUG